RNAcentral lists this ribosomal RNA (724 nucleotides) under uncultured bacterium. Its description in RNAcentral is "bacterial SSU rRNA". It matches the Rfam family "Bacterial small subunit ribosomal RNA", at positions 28 to 764 of the family's 1533-position model. The record is from RNAcentral.
GAUGAACGCUGGCGGCGUGCCUAAUACAUGCAAGUCGAGCGCAAAAGGGAUUGCUUGCAAUCCCUGGAAGAACGGCGGACGGGUGAGUAACACGUAGGCAACCUACCCCAAACUCUGGGAUACCUACUGGAAACAGUAGUUAAUACCGGAUAAGCUGAUAAUGUCGCAUGGCAUAUUCAGAAAAGAUUUAUUGGUUUGGGAUGGGCCUGCGUCUGAUUAGCUAGUUGGUGGGGUAAAGGCCUACCAAGGCGACGAUCAGUAGCCGGCCUGAGAGGGUGAUCGGCCACACUGGGACUGAGACACGGCCCAGACUCCUACGGGAGGCAGCAGUACGGAAUAUUGCACAAUGGGGGAAACCCUGAUGCAGCAACGCCGCGUGAAGGAAGAAGGUUUUCGGAUCGUAAACUUCUUUAGUCUGGGAAGAAAAAAAUGACGGUACCAGAAGAAUAAGCCCCGGCUAACUACGUGCCAGCAGCCGCGGUAAUACGUAGGGGGCAAGCGUUAUCCGGAAUUACUGGGUGUAAAGGGUGAGUAGGCGGUUCUUUAAGUCAUAAGUGAAAGCCUUGGGCUUAACCCAAGCGAGCUUAAGAAACUGUAGAACUAGAGUAUGGGAGAGGUAAGUGGAAUUCCUAGUGUAGCGGUGAAAUGCGUAGAUAUUAGGAGGAACACCAGUGGCGAAGGCGACUUACUGGACCAAAACUGACGCUGAGUCACGAAAGCGUGG